AUUGAACGCUGGCGGCAGGCUUAACACAUGCAAGUCGAACGAUGAUUAUCUAGCUUGCUAGAUAUGAUUAGUGGCGGACGGGUGAGUAACAUUUAGGAAUCUGCCUAGUAGUGGGGGAUAGCUCGGGGAAACUCGAAUUAAUACCGCAUACGACCUACGGGUGAAAGGGGGCGCAAGCCCUUGCUAUUAGAUGAGCCUGAAUCAGAUUAGCUAGUUGGUGGGGUAAAGGCCCACCAAGGCGACGAUCUGUAACUGGUCUGAGAGGAUGAUCAGUCACACCGGAACUGAGACACGGUCCGGACUCCUACGGGAGGCAGCAGUGGGGAAUAUUGGACAAUGGGGGCAACCCUGAUCCAGCCAUGCCGCGUGUGUGAAGAAGGCCUUUUGGUUGUAAAGCACUUUAAGCAGGGAGGAGAGGCUAAUGGUUAAUACCCAUUAGAUUAGACUUUACCUGCAGAAUAAGCACCGGCUAACUCUGUGCCAGCAGCCGCGGUAAUACAGAGGGUGCGAGCGUUAAUCGGAAUUACUGGGCGUAAAGCGAGUGUAGGUGGCUCAUUAAGUCACAUGUGAAAUCCCCGGGCUUAACCUGGGAACUGCAUGUGAUACUGGUGGUGCUAGAAUAUGUGAGAGGGAAGUAGAAUUCCAGGUGUAGCGGUGAAAUGCGUAGAGAUCUGGAGGAAUACCGAUGGCGAAGGCAGCUUCCUGGCAUAAUAUUGACACUGAGAUUCGAAAGCGUGGGUAGCAAACAGGAUUAGAUACCCUGGUAGUCCACGCCGUAAACGAUGUCUACUAGCCGUUGGGGUCCUUGAGACUUUAGUGGCGCAGUUAACGCGAUAAGUAGACCGCCUGGGGAGUACGGCCGCAAGGUUAAAACUCAAAUGAAUUGACGGGGGCCCGCACAAGCGGUGGAGCAUGUGGUUUAAUUCGAUGCAACGCGAAGAACCUUACCUGGUCUUGACAUAGUGAGAAUCCUGCAGAGAUGCGGGAGUGCCUUCGGGAAUUCACAUACAGGUGCUGCAUGGCUGUCGUCAGCUCGUGUCGUGAGAUGUUGGGUUAAGUCCCGCAACGAGCGCAACCCUUUUCCUUAUUUGCCAGUGGGUUAGGCCGGGAACUUUAAGGAUACUGCCAGUGACAAACUGGAGGAAGGCGGGGACGACGUCAAGUCAUCAUGGCCCUUACGACCAGGGCUACACACGUGCUACAAUGGUAGGUACAGAGGGUUGCUACACAGCGAUGUGAUGCUAAUCUCAAAAAGCCUAUCGUAGUCCGGAUUGGAGUCUGCAACUCGACUCCAUGAAGUCGGAAUCGCUAGUAAUCGCAGAUCAGAAUGCUGCGGUGAAUACGUUCCCGGGCCUUGUACACACCGCCCGUCACACCAUGGGAGUCUAUUGCACCAGAAGUAGGUAGCCUAACGUAAGAGGGCGCUUACCACGGUGUGGUCGAUGACUGGGGUG
This 1454-nucleotide ribosomal RNA is filed under the name uncultured bacterium. RNAcentral's name for it is "bacterial SSU rRNA". It matches the Rfam family "Bacterial small subunit ribosomal RNA". The record is from RNAcentral.